GACGAACGCUGGCGGCGUGCUUAACACAUGCAAGUCGAACGGAAAGGCCCUGCUUUUGUGGGGUGCUCGAGUGGCGAACGGGUGAGUAACACGUGAGUAACCUGCCCUUGACUUUGGGAUAACUUCAGGAAACUGGGGCUAAUACCGGAUAGGAGCUCCUGCUGCAUGGUGGGGGUUGGAAAGUUUCGGCGGUUGGGGAUGGACUCGCGGCUUAUCAGCUUGUUGGUGGGGUAGUGGCUUACCAAGGCUUUGACGGGUAGCCGGCCUGAGAGGGUGACCGGCCACAUUGGGACUGAGAUACGGCCCAGACUCCUACGGGAGGCAGCAGUGGGAGAUAUUGCACGAUGGGCGGAAGCCUGAUGCAGCAACGCCGCGUGCGGGAUGACGGCCUUCGGGUUGUAAACCGCUUUCGCCUGUGACGAAGCGUGAGUGACGGUAAUGGGUAAAGAAGCACCGGCUAACUACGUG
Molecule: ribosomal RNA, 468 nt
Filed under: uncultured bacterium
Lineage: Bacteria
Description: partial 16S ribosomal RNA
Rfam family: Bacterial small subunit ribosomal RNA
Source: RNAcentral